GACGAACGCUGGCGGCGUGCUUAACACAUGCAAGUCGAACGGAAAGGCCCUGCUUUUGUGGGGUGCUCGAGUGGCGAACGGGUGAGUAACACGUGAGUAACCUGCCCUUGACUUUGGGAUAACUUCAGGAAACUGGGGCUAAUACCGGAUAGGAGCUCCUGCUGCAUGGUGGGGGUUGGAAAGUUUCGGCGGUCGGGGCUGGAGUCGCGGCUUAUCAGCUUGUUGGUGGGGUAGUGGCUUACCAAGGCUUUGACGGGUAGCCGGCCUGAGAGGGUGACCGGCCACAUUGGGACUGAGAUACGGCCCAGACUCCUACGGGAGGCAGCAGUGGAGAAUAUUGCGCAAUGGGCGGGAGCCUGAUGCAGCAACGCCGCGUGCGGGAUGACGGCCUUCGGGUUGUAAACCGCUUUCGCCUGUGACGAAGCGUGAGUGACGGUACUGGGUAAAGAAGCACCGGCUAACUACGUG
Molecule: ribosomal RNA, 468 nt
Filed under: uncultured bacterium
Lineage: Bacteria
Description: partial 16S ribosomal RNA
Rfam family: Bacterial small subunit ribosomal RNA
Source: RNAcentral